RNAcentral lists this ribosomal RNA (433 nucleotides) under uncultured bacterium. RNAcentral's name for it is "partial 16S ribosomal RNA". It matches the Rfam family "Bacterial small subunit ribosomal RNA", at positions 29 to 507 of the family's 1533-position model. The record is from RNAcentral.
GCGCACGCUGGCGGCAGGCCUAACACAUGCAAGUCGAGCGAACCUUUCGGGGUUAGUGGCGGACGGGUGAGUAACACGUGGGAACGUGCCUUUAGGUUCGGAAUAACUCAGGGAAACUUGUGCUAAUACCGAAUGUGCCCUUCGGGGGAAAGAUUUAUCGCCUUUAGAGCGGCCCGCGUCUGAUUAGCUAGUUGGUUGAGGUAAUGGCUCACCAAGGCGACGAUCAGUAGCUGGUCUGAGAGGAUGAUCAGCCACAUUGGGACUGAGACACGGCCCAAACUCCUACGGGAGGCAGCAGUGGGGAAUCUUGCGCAAUGGGCGAAAGCCUGACGCAGCCAUGCCGCGUGAAUGAUGAAGGUCUUAGGAUUGUAAAAUUCUUUCACCGGGGACGAUAAUGACGGUACCCGGAGAAGAAGCCCCGGCUAACUUCGUG